CCCUUAGGCGUCCUGGGCCGCACGCGCGCUACAAUGACUCAUGCAACAAGUUCUUCCAAACUCGAAAGAGGUCAGGAAAUCUUUAUAAUGUGAGUCGUACUAGUAGGGAUUGAUCUUUGCAAUUCUGGAUCAUGAACGAGGAAUUCCUAGUAAGCAUAAGUCAUCAACUUGUGCUGAUUACGUCCCUGCCCUUUGUACACACCGCCCGUCGCGCCUACCGAUUGAAUGGUCCGGUGAAGCCUCGGGAUUGUGGCCAGUUCACUUUAUUGGGAGUUGGCUGCGAGAACUUGUCUAAACCUUAUCAUUUAGAGGAAGGUGAAGUCGUAACA
RNAcentral lists this ribosomal RNA (329 nucleotides) under uncultured eukaryote. Its description in RNAcentral is "partial 18S ribosomal RNA". It matches the Rfam family "Eukaryotic small subunit ribosomal RNA", at positions 1470 to 1796 of the family's 1831-position model. The record is from RNAcentral.